This 253-nucleotide ribosomal RNA is filed under the name uncultured bacterium. Its description in RNAcentral is "partial 16S ribosomal RNA". It matches the Rfam family "Bacterial small subunit ribosomal RNA", at positions 524 to 776 of the family's 1533-position model. The record is from RNAcentral.
UACGUAGGUGACCAGCGUUGUCCGGAUUUACUGGGCGUAAAGAGCGCGCAGGCGGUCGAUCAAGUCGAGUGUGAAAGCCCCCGGCUCAACUGGGGAGGGUCACUUGAUACUGAUCGACUCGAAGGCAGGAGAGGGAAGCGGAAUUCCCGGUGUAGUGGUGAAAUGCGUAGAUAUCGGGAGGAACACCAGUGGCGAAGGCGACUUCCUGGCCUGUUCUUGACGCUGAGGCGCGAAAGCUAGGGGAGCAAACGGG